CCUACGGGACGCAGCAGUGGGGAAUCUUGCACAAUGGGCGAAAGCCUGAUGCAGCGACGCCGCGUGGGCGAAGAAGGCCUUUGGGCCGUAAAGCCCUGUCGGGAGGGAAGAAGGAAGCGACGGUACCUCCCAAGGAAGCCCCGGUUAACUACGUGCCAGCAGCCGCGGUAACACGUAGGGAGCAAGCGUUAUCCGGAUUUACUGGGUGUAAAGGGAGCGUAGACGGCUGCGCAAGUCAGAAGUGAAAGCCCGGGGCUCAACCGCGGG
This 267-nucleotide ribosomal RNA is filed under the name uncultured bacterium. Its description in RNAcentral is "partial 16S ribosomal RNA". It matches the Rfam family "Bacterial small subunit ribosomal RNA", at positions 338 to 619 of the family's 1533-position model. The record is from RNAcentral.